Molecule: ribosomal RNA, 492 nt
Filed under: uncultured bacterium
Lineage: Bacteria
Description: partial 16S ribosomal RNA
Rfam family: Bacterial small subunit ribosomal RNA
Source: RNAcentral
AGUGAACGCUGGCGGUAGGCCUAACACAUGCAAGUCGAACGGCAGCACAGUAAGAGCUUGCUCUUACGGGUGGCGAGUGGCGGACGGGUGAGGAAUACAUCGGAAUCUACUUUUUCGUGGGGGAUAACGUAGGGAAACUUACGCUAAUACCGCAUACGACCUACGGGUGAAAGCAGGGGAUCUUCGGACCUUGCGCGAUUGAAUGAGCCGAUGUCGGAUUAGCUAGUUGGCGGGGUAAAGGCCCACCAAGGCGACGAUCCGUAGCUGGUCUGAGAGGAUGAUCAGCCAAACUGGAACUGAGACACGGUCCAGACUCCUACGGGAGGCAGCAGUGGGGAAUAUUGGACAAUGGGCGAAAGCCUGAUCCAGCAAUACCGCGUGGGUGAAGAAGGCCUUCGGGUUGUAAAGCCCUUUUGUUGGGAAAGAAAAGCAGCAGGUUAAUACCCCGCUGUUCCGACGGUACCCAAAGAAUAAGCACCGGCUAACUUCGUG